This 252-nucleotide ribosomal RNA is filed under the name uncultured bacterium. RNAcentral's name for it is "partial 16S ribosomal RNA". It matches the Rfam family "Bacterial small subunit ribosomal RNA", at positions 525 to 776 of the family's 1533-position model. The record is from RNAcentral.
ACGGAGGGGGUUAGCGUUGUUCGGAAUUACUGGGCGUAAAGCGCACGUAGGCGGACUUUUAAGUUAGAGGUGAAAUCCCAGGGCUCAACCCUGGAACUGCCUUUAAUACUGGAAGUCUUGAGUUCGAGAGAGGUAAGUGGAAUUCCAAGUGUAGAGGUGAAAUUCGUAGAUAUUUGGAGGAACACCAGUGGCGAAGGCGGCUUACUGGCUCGAUACUGACGCUGAGGUGCGAAAGCGUGGGGAGCAAACAGG